UAAAUGGUGACACCUCACAGCUGUCCUGCCC
Molecule: non-coding RNA, 31 nt
Filed under: Mus musculus (house mouse)
Lineage: Eukaryota; Metazoa; Chordata; Mammalia; Rodentia; Muridae
Source: RNAcentral